CAACCCCCAAGCCCUGGCUGCUUGGUGUUGGGGCUUAAUCUGCAGCGCCUUUACGGCGGCUGCAGGCCCCUAAUUACAGUGGCGGACCCGCCGAGGCCCCGAGCGCAGUAGUGUAUCUCCUCGCUCCAGGGCGCCGCGGCGGGCUCUCCUGCCGUAAAAACCCCACUAUUUUUCAA
RNAcentral lists this unclassified non-coding RNA (176 nucleotides) under uncultured Sordariales. RNAcentral describes it as "sequence contains ITS2". The record is from RNAcentral. Lineage: Eukaryota; Fungi; Ascomycota; Sordariomycetes; Sordariales.